Molecule: long non-coding RNA, 333 nt
Organism: Salvelinus fontinalis (brook trout)
Lineage: Eukaryota; Metazoa; Chordata; Actinopteri; Salmoniformes; Salmonidae
Exons: 3
Source: RefSeq, a predicted model, not a curated record
GUGUGGGUAAAAGCUUGGACGUAACGAGAAUAGAUGCCUACUUGGAGGCAUCCAAGGCCCAGUAUUCAACAGAGCUGGAUAAGUUCCACAACAUGAUCCCGUUCGACCAAAUGACCAUCGACAUGUUCCCAGAGACCAAGCUAGACAAGGAGAAGCACCCGUACUGCCCACACAAAUCCAUUGCCGAGCUGUAAUUUAUCACUACUGGCCAGCCCGUAAGCCCAUGGCAGACUUAUCACCAGGCAUAUCAGGACCGAGUUUGGGAAACCCUCUCCUAACCUGCUGUGUAAGUCUACCUAACCUGUUAUGAAAGGUCACUUCUGCUUGUCAAAA